Molecule: long non-coding RNA, 470 nt
Organism: Motacilla alba alba
Lineage: Eukaryota; Metazoa; Chordata; Aves; Passeriformes; Motacillidae
Exons: 3
Source: RefSeq, a predicted model, not a curated record
GUGCUUACUGCUUAGCUUUGAUGACAGCUGAGUAAGAUCACAGCAGGAUUCAUUCCUCUUCUUAAUAAAGGUUUGUUCACCACAAAACUUACGCAGUUCGCUAGACCAUCUCUACUUGCACGGGUUCCAGCGAGAGCAGGUGAAAGGCUCGUUGAGAAACAACUUCUGUCACUGAACAGAAACUACUGAGCUGAAGUAGUACUACUGCUUUUCAUCUGAGACUUUGUUUUUCUCUGUGCAGAUUUAAAGUUUUUAAGGAUGCAGCCAGAAAUCUGUGGAGGAGGACACCAGAUGAUAAUGCAGAAAGACAUGAAGGUGGAAUGAGAACAGUUGUGCAUGCCCCAGAGGAACAGCUGCCAGUUAGCAAUACGUUUGUCCUUCAGGAACCUAUCAGAAGGGUGACUCUGGUGGGGAAUUUCCUUACCUCUGGUGACAUUAACAGCCUUAGUAUAAAAUAAAAUCAUCAAUAG